RNAcentral lists this small nuclear RNA (63 nucleotides) under Aegilops tauschii subsp. strangulata. The record is from RNAcentral. Lineage: Eukaryota; Viridiplantae; Streptophyta; Magnoliopsida; Poales; Poaceae.
GUCCCUUCGGGGACAUCCGAUAAAAUUGAAACGAUACAGAGAAGAUUAGCAUGGCACCUGCGC